CUAUGUGUUUGGCCUAUUCUAGGAUCAGAAAACAUGAUGUUGAAUGAAAUGCGCACCAUUCCAGCCUCACAAAACUUGGAUCCUAACAGUCUCAGUUCACAGAAUCUCUGCAGAUUCAAUCUGGCAUCAAAUAACAGCCCAUUCUUCUCUGCCACCAUGGCCACUGGGAGCUGAUGAGGACAAAGAUACAGCACCUUAGCUACAGAGAAGAAGAAAGAAGUGCUUUCAGGGUCGCUCUGAAGACUGAAGGGUAGAAGUCUAGAAGAAAGGCAGUUGGCCCACUGUGCUCCACUGUUUCUAAGCUCCUGAUUCAGCAAACCUCUCGGGACACAGACCUAAUGCAUCCUCCUACUGAAACGUCAAGUCUGCAUUUAUUAUGCUUAAUCUAGAUGGGGUUGGCUUCUUGCAAUCAAAAAUCUGUUCUACAAUGCACAUCUCUGCCAGCAGACUGGACCUGUCCCAUGGCCCCUCUGCCCUAUCAUUCCAAAUUUAUGCAAAGAAAGUUACUGAAUGCUCCUACGUUUCUGAUGUAAGCUCAGCCUGCAGAAAACCACCUCUCCGUCCUACAGGCAUUUCCAGGCUAGAUCUAGCACUGUCUGUUCGAGCUCUUGCUCCCAAACAUUGCACUACCCACCUACGUUCCAGAACCAGUCCACAAGACCUCCAACUGGGCUCUAAGCUAACUGUCCCAUUUUGAAAGGUGUGAAAGGAAGACUGAAGCUUCCAGACUCCCUGGCUCCCAGAAAAUUGGCCGUAUGCCUGAGGAAGACAAAGAGCAAAGUGAUCUGGAAAGCUCCCGCAGUUGAGAAGAAAUGUGUAUUUCAUCUGGAUAAUGAAUGCUGUUAGCCUUAGAGAAUGGAAUAAACCUAAGGACUCGGGAGUGUAAUUCUUUCUUGAAAGGCCGAUACAUAUCAAUAAUUUAGGGAGGAAGACCUUUCAAAGCUGUGAUCCAGAUGAUUUUGUAACUGAGAGAUUAACACAUGAAUGGCUACCCUGAUUCCGUGGCUGUCUCAGAGUCAUUAUUGAUAAACAAUUUAUUUUUCUUAAAAUGAAAUCUGUUCCGCAGAUGUCUACUUCUCAGCUAGGAUAUAACAACCUUGAAGAAAAUCACACUGCUUUCUGUGCAAUAUUCAACCAGAUGAUAUUAACAUAGCAUGGGCCUAAGCAAGUAUUUGAACUGUCUUCCAGGCUCCCUCUUUCAUACGUGCACCUCAAUCAGUGACUGGAUGAAGAAAAGUCUUGGGUGAAAUGGAGCUCCCAAGAAAUGAUUUGGGGCAAGUAAAUGAAAGCACAUUUUCCUUA
Long non-coding RNA from Herpailurus yagouaroundi (jaguarundi), 1302 nucleotides. RefSeq lists it as uncharacterized. The transcript has 4 exons. The record is from RefSeq and is a predicted model, not a curated record. NCBI's taxonomy places the organism in Eukaryota, Metazoa, Chordata, Mammalia, Carnivora, Felidae.